RNAcentral lists this ribosomal RNA (123 nucleotides) under Disa chrysostachya. RNAcentral describes it as "partial 18S ribosomal RNA". It matches the Rfam family "Eukaryotic small subunit ribosomal RNA", at positions 1713 to 1831 of the family's 1831-position model. The record is from RNAcentral. Lineage: Eukaryota; Viridiplantae; Streptophyta; Magnoliopsida; Asparagales; Orchidaceae. RNAcentral also lists the same sequence under 4 other names.
GAUUGCUGUGACGUGGGUGGUUCGCCGCCUUCGACAUUGCAAGAAGUCCAUUGAACCUUAUCAUUUAGAGGAAGGAGAAGUCGUAACAAGGUUUCCGUAGGUGAACCUGCGGAAGGAUCAUUG